CACAAAGGUUUAAAAUAGUGUAUAUUGGUAUAAACGUUUAAUAAAAAUGCAUACAUACGUAACCCAUGGUCGGCAUGGAAUUUUGUCACUUGGCACAGUACUUUAAUAUUUUUUAAUGUUUGUCCCACAUUAAAAUAUAUUGAGUCAAUGACAGUGCAACUGUUCAUAUUAAAACGUUCUAAUCACAUUUUACAUGCACAUUUGUAUUCAGUAGUAAUCUUUUCAUAAAGGUACAUCAAAGUCCC
Non-coding RNA from Paramuricea clavata, 245 nucleotides. Lineage: Eukaryota; Metazoa; Cnidaria; Anthozoa; Malacalcyonacea; Plexauridae. The record is from the annotation of a GenBank genome assembly.